Molecule: long non-coding RNA, 926 nt
Filed under: Melopsittacus undulatus (budgerigar)
Lineage: Eukaryota; Metazoa; Chordata; Aves; Psittaciformes; Psittaculidae
Description: lncRNA (ENSMUNG00000020557.1)
Source: RNAcentral
CAAGCAGGUGUCUUUCCAGUCAGCUCUGGGGCCCCGAUGCCUCAGCCUCUUAGAGCACUGGGUGCAGAGAUGUACCUCCACCACUGAAACAGCACCAGGACAGAGAAAGCAGCUGAGAGGAGAGGAGCCAGGAGACAUGGAGCCAGCCACUUAAAAGACGCAGCAGCAAACUUCUGAAGAGCAGGAAGUCUGAAACGGGGCUGCAGGGGGUGACCGGAGAAUGGUUUCAAGAAAUGCAAAGACAAAAAUUCCACAAUUAUGUCGAAGCCAAUAGGAUGCUAAAACCACCACUGGAACAUCAGCUAAGGAAGAGCAGAAACACCGAUCCUAAGGAACUAAAAAUGCCAUCCCGCACAAAUCCUCAAGCACAAAAGAACACUUCGGCUUCCUUUCUGGGGUUCAGAUCACCUUUUGCUUGGCUUUUCUCCUUUAGAAAAUCAAGGAAAAACCAGACUCAGAAGCAACCACGGUGAGCUAUGAUCAGAACAUACAUUAUUUCCAGCUUAAAAAAAGUCUAAUUGUUCUGUGUUUUGUUAUAAAACUUGGUUACAAUUAUUUUUUCAGCCUCUUGCCUUUCACCUCACUGAAGAGACAGGGAUUUUACUUGGUCAUGUAAUGAGAGAUUAUUUGUUCUGUGUCAGAAGAAUGAGGACUAAGUGGCAAAUGGUAGCUAAAGUCUUGUGACUCAAUCUAUUUUACUCAGGUUUUGCACGAUCAUAGCAUCAUAAAAUGGUUUGGGUUGGAAGGGACCUUAAAGAUCAUCUAGUUCCAUCCCCCCUGCCAUGGGCAGGGACACCUUCCACUAGACUAGAUUGUUCAAAGCCCCAUCCAGCCUAGCCUUGAACACUUCCAGCCUCUUCCUUCCAGGGCUUUAUCCCAUGGUACUCUACCAAGCAGAUCCCUCAAGAGACCAAAGUCAUCUCUCC